AGUGAACGCUGGCGGUAGGCCUAACACAUGCAAGUCGAACGGCAGCAUAGUAAGAGCUUGCUCUUACCGGUGGCGAGUGGCGGACGGGUGAGGCAUACAUCGGCUACUUCUUUUACGUGGGUGAUAACGUAAGGCCACUUACGCUAAUACCGCAUAUGACCUACGGGUGAAAUCAGGAGAUCUUCGGGCCUUGCGUGAUUGAUUGAGCCGAUGUCGGAUUAGCUAGUUGGCGGGGUAAAGGCCCACCAAGGCAACGAUCCGUAGCUGGUCUGAGAGGAUGAUCAGCCACACUGGAACUGAGACACGGUCCAGACUCCUACGGGAGGCAGCAGUGGGGAAUAUUGGACAAUGGGCGCAAGCCUGAUCCAGCCAUACCGCGUGGGUGAAGAAGGCCUUCGGGUUGUAAAGCCCUUUUGUUGGGAAAGAAAAGCAGCAGGUUAAUACCCCGCUGUUCUGACGGUACCCAAAGAAUAAGCACCGGCUAACUUCGUG
This 492-nucleotide ribosomal RNA is filed under the name uncultured bacterium. Its description in RNAcentral is "partial 16S ribosomal RNA". It matches the Rfam family "Bacterial small subunit ribosomal RNA", at positions 29 to 507 of the family's 1533-position model. The record is from RNAcentral.